GGUCACUCUGCAUCAAUGGCCCUUUCGUCGAUCCGUAAUUACAUUGAUGCCCACCACACAAAUGCAAAAUGGCCGCGUGGUGUCUCCCUCGAAGAGCCAUGUAAGCGACGCCGCGAUGGUUUCCUUCUCCUAUUGGGCCGCAGCAGAAGCCGAGGUGACAUCCUGUGUUGAAGCAUGGAACUGUGAUGUUGAAAGCCCUUUGCCAAGUAGGAAGUUCCUCGAGGUUUUGUGGAAGAAGUCUUGCUCGGGAUGAAUAAUACCGGCGCUGAACCCAAUCUGGAAAGGGCCCGCCGAGUUUCUACAGCAGUUCGGUUAUAUUAUCAGCACAUCGACAAUGGCUUCUGGUUUGAACCCACGUAGUGUGGCAUUUUGUCAUGCAAUUGAGGGGCUAGGAAAAGCUAGCCGGAUUCCAGAACCUACAAUUUGAUGUUCUCUAACUUCAUAUCGAUUGGAGAUUUAGAUGUAUGACACAGAUAGCGAUACUUGAUACCGAAUUGAUUAGUGUGUUUGGUGUUCCUCAAAAUUAGAAGAGUGGCAGAUGCACUUGAAUUAACUGAUGAUAUGCUUGGCCGAGGAGUUUUGCCCAACUUUGGGAUGAUUAAGCUUAGUUGAGACUACAUGCAGACUUACCUGAAAGUCAAAAGCAUACCUCUGAAUGCUAAUUCACAAAGCUAUUGGCAUCCCCGAGUCUAUUCACCAGUAUCCUUUAUUCCUCAAUCAAGAUAAUGUUUGGCUUAUAUCUUGAAUGGAUGAUUAUGGUCAGCCAUGAAACAAUCUCAAUUUCCUUGGCCGCUAUCUGCAGAGUCAUGAUAGAUAGCCUUGGCUUCCAGG
Long non-coding RNA from Musa acuminata AAA Group (dessert banana), 831 nucleotides. RefSeq lists it as uncharacterized. NCBI's taxonomy places the organism in Eukaryota, Viridiplantae, Streptophyta, Magnoliopsida, Zingiberales, Musaceae. The record is from RefSeq and is a predicted model, not a curated record. The transcript has 3 exons.